UUUUCUUUUGAUAUUUCAAUGUCAUAUUGAAAAGAUGCAUUGUUAUUUUUCUUGUUAUGUUCUGCCCAUUUCAAUGGUCUUGGUAGUGUUGAAUUGUUUUUUUCUAGAAGCCAAAUGAUGGGUUAUAUGUUGAAAGUUUUGUAUUUAUUUGGUGAAAUUGUUUCUUUCACGGUGUUCAGGCUGUGUCUAUGUUUGUAUUUGAUUUCUUAAACAUGUUACUAGUUGUAGCACCAGGGCAUAGAAAUUACUCUCCUUUGCAAUGUGGGCUCGCGCGAACUUUAUGAACUAUUGCCUAGUUUAGGAGAAAUCUUUUGUUUGUUUCUCUUUUUCAAAGAAUUUUGAACUGUAGGUAUUAGAAUAAAGCAAGGAAAUUAAAGGUUCUUCUUUUAGUUACACUGGAACUUAUAGCAUUCAACAACUUCAAUGAUUAAGUUGGUUAUAGAUUAAGGGUGAUGCAGUGCCCAUGCGCUGCUUGCAUUUUCACUAACUACAGAUGCAGUUUUGUUCGACAAUUGACCCUUUCUUGCUGGUAUGUGUGCCUCGUCUUAGUGGAUGACCGCAAUCUGCGGGUAGCUGAUUUUGCUCAGUUUUGGGCAACUGCGAAGGUAUACCCUUAAUCCUUUUUCCUUCUUUCCUCCCCCAAUCUGUGAGUAUGUCUGCUGUCAUUUUUUUUUUGGUGGUUUCCUGGGAAUAGUUAAGGUCUUCGGGUGCAAAUAAUCUAUAGGAGUUUCAUUGAAGUUUGAAGCUAAUGAUAUUGAUGUUCUGCAUUUGUAUGGUAAUGUUUUAUGGGUUCUACCAUGUUGGACUUCAGUUUUAUGCGUAGUGUAGUUGUCUAUUCCGUAAAUCCUUCUUAGUCUUUUUUUUUUUGACCAGCAGCCUUUUCAGUAUAUUGUGCACUUUGGUUUUCCCUGUAUUUGAGAAUUUUCUUUGCUGUAUAUAAGCACAAAAGUUAUAUAUUUAGCUGGAUUUGAGGAUACAGUGCCAUUAAAUUGAAUGAUCUAUUGUAGAAUGGAAAUAUUUAUGAGAGGUUUCUUUGUUAGCAUUCAGAUGUCCUUUGCUCUUAUCUUCUUUUUCCUUCCGUUUUGCUUUUAGUUGUUCUGUAUCUUUAGACCAUGUUCAACUUCCAAAGCAAAGUAUAACGUACUCGAAAUUUAUUUAUCAUCUUUUCGGACAGAAUAAUCAUCACUAUUGGGGAUCAUCUUUUCAGUGGUCCAGAGAUGAUCCACGCUUUUUUGUAUAUGUAAUCCAAGGGAUACCUCAGAACAUUUGCUGUUCUAUAAAAUAUUUCAAAGACUAGCAAAUAUUAGCAAUUACUUUUGGGAACUUGUAACCUUUGUAAUAGAAUUAUAUUAUAUUUUUUUAGGAAAAAAAGGUAAAUUUUUUAUAUUCAUAUUUUCUCCUGGUUGCUAUUAGAAGAUUAUCCAAUAUUAUGAUUCCGAAUAAGCGCAAGUUUUAAUUGAUGGUAUGCUUGAAAUGAUAGUAGCGGCUUCAUAUUUCUAUCAUCUAACCUUUGAUAUAAUUGCGCUUGUAUUAUUGUUACGUGCACUAUGAGCUAAGUUGGACAUGUCUGUGGGAAGUUUGUUGUAGACAGGGCAAUGUUACAUAUCACUAAUUAUUUGGAUGUUCCUCUUUAUCUGUUGCUUUAAUUAUCAUUAUAUAAUUAUUCCACGUAUAGCUUGUUAUGGACUUUCCAUUUUAUUAAUGGUCACAUAUCAAAAUUUUCUUUUCCAGUUUGACUGAGUUUUUAUCUUACAUUGUUUGAUGGAGUUUUGGAUAGUUUGCAUUGUUAAUGUUUUAUGCUUCCCAUUAUCAAGCUAUAAUACAUGGAAAAAUAGAAAUGUUUUGACAGAAAAAUAUUUAAAAUUGCUGAACUUUUUAUUGAAUUGCCUACAAUGUACAGGAACGGAACCGAGAAAACUGCAGUCACAUUAUUUGUGUUGUUUUUUGGUGCAUUUGGUGCUCUCAAUUUGAUUCUUUUUUAAUUUUUUAACUGUCCCUGUUCAUUUAGUUUCUGAAUUUGAUCAGAGCACAAGUGGAACAUGUGAUUUUUGAGAUGAAAUGCCUUUCAGGGGAAAAAAAAAAAAGAUGGGAUUGAAUUGCAUCUUUUUUUUAAGGGAGAAUGGCUAAUAUGUGAAAGAUGAUAAUUUGUGACAAUUGUUUAAAGUUUCUAUAGAUGUGCUCAAUUAUAAAAUCCCUCAAUAUAUGUGUCUUCCACUGAUGAUAGAAGCAGAGUCAAUAGUUUGGUUUCUCUUGUCUGUUAUAUGCGCUGCUCAUUGUUUCUUGUUUUCUUGUCAGAGAUCGGGCUAUGAAGUGUAUAUACUAGAAGCUACAUACAAGGAUCCAGCGGUGAGUUUAUAUGCUAUUCAUUGUUUUUCAUUUUCUGGAUAAUUGCUCUUUUGAAUGUGCGGUUUGUAUUUUUCCUACUGCACUAGUUAUAUUUGGGGGUUCUUUAUUUGAAAUAAUUCAAAAAUUUAGCAUAAAUGGGGCAGAAGUUCCCUACAUACAUUGGCAGUAUGUGAAUGAUUUGGUGAAAUUGCAGGGUUGUGCGGCUAGGAAUGUUCAUGGUUUCACCCUUGAUGAUAUUGAGAGGAUGGCUGGACAAUGGGAGGAAGCUCCAACUUUGUACUUGCAAUUGGAUAUUAAGGUUGUGAUUAAUUUCUAAUUUUUGUUUUGUCUCAGAUCCAACUUUGUACGUGCAAUUGGAUAUUAAGGUUGUGAUUAAUUUUUAAUUUUUUUAUUUUGUUUGAGAUGCUGGAAGUUAUAAAACAAAUCAUUGUCCAUAGGUAGAAAAAUUUACAUAUCUGCUUCGACCAAAGUCAAAUUUAAUUAAUAAAAGGGAAAAGACUGUAAUCUGAUUUGAGAUUUAUUAACUUGUAAAAAUUUGAGAACUAGUUGUCUUUCUUCUGACUUUUAAGUUAACUUACUUUAGUUCUAAUGCUAUACUUCUGCUGGCAUGACAGACUUUGUUUCAUGGAGAUGACCUGAAGGAAAGUGGGAUCAAAGAGGUAAAUGAAUAAUUUAUGAUGCUAAGUCCACUUUGCUUGGGACUAGAAUAAUACAAGUACUUUUGCCUGAUUACAACUAGCUCUUGUUUCGCUGAAAUCAGGCCUACACUUCUUAACCUAAUCUUGGCCAAUACCUUUGCUUUUACUGCUUGUUCCGUAAUGAGCAUGGAAGUUUUGUGCUAGCUUUGGUACAUAAAGAUGUAUUAAUCCGCUAUGUUGGGAUGCUUACUUGAUCCCCGUAGCUGACAUGUGAAUCAGCUUUGACUGGGAUUUUCUGAAGUAGGGAUGAUAAUAAUUAUUGAUGUUUAAUUCUGCCCAAAGUACAUCUCAGCAUUUACUUUAGGUCGUUUGUUCCACAAAGUCUUCAUUCAUUAAUAGCACAUUGAGUGGGGAAUCUUGGAAUCGGCAUUCUACUGGCUUAUUAUUAUUUUUCUCAUGUCAAAAUCUACAGGUAGAAAUGGAUAUGGAUGAGGAUUCUGAUGGUCUAUUAGCACAGCAAGAAAAAGAAACCAACAGCAUUGCAGUUUCUAUAACAGGAGAAGAUCCACCAGCAGGUGUAUAUUUCAUCAAGUCAAACAAUUACUGUUGUUCAGUUUUUCUGAUUUGUCAAUAUGCUUGUAUAGAAACAUGUAUGUAUCUGCAUAAGGAUGGAUGAAUGACUAUGUGCAUGUUUUCAUUUAUGCAUAUUCUAUUUAGUUCUGUUUAUUAUUUCAUCUAGUUUUGGGCUGGCUUUUUAGUUUAUAAUUUGAACUUCAGAUUUCCCUAGGAAUGAGAAGAGAUGGGAUGCUGAAGGGGACCGUCCAGCGGAAGUAGUGAAAGACUUGGGCAGUAGUAAGUGGUCAAAUGAUUUAAAUGAAGACGAUGAUGAAACCUCCGGUGUUGUGAAGGGUAACUCAAAUGCUCUUUCUGGGUUGUUCCAAUUGUAUGUUAAGGAAGGGAAAUCCAUGCAUUGGGGUGAUCAGGUAUCUGCUAAAUCUGAUUCUAUAAAGUUGUAAUGUUAAAUGCCGAUGCAUAUAUCCACCAUAAAUAGAAAUGGGUAUUUAGUACAAAUGUUUCCACACUAGAUUGCUAUAAGCUGGUGAUAAUGGUAGUUUUGCCUAGUCUGCUUCAGUGGAAAUGUAUGUCCUCCAUUGGUUUUCAGUUUUGCUUCCGUGAUAGAAUUUUUGUUCUACAUAAUUCUCUCCGGUUCAUUGUAUUCUUACUAAAUUGUUUUGCUGGUCUUGUUCUUUUCUUAACGGAUUUUUAUUUAAAAAUUUCUUCCAGGUUGGUGAUACUGGGUUCUCAAUAGGUGCCACAAAGAAGUCAAAAAUGUUAUCUUUAGUAAUUGGACCGGGUGCGGGAUACAACUUGGUUAGUCUUGCAGCUGUAAUGGUGGCUUAUAAUUUGGAUUGUUGGAAGUACUUUUCACAAUUUGUGAAGAUCAUAGUUAACUUAUUGUUCUAAAAUCCAGAAUUAGUAGUUUUUCACUUCAAGUUCUUUUCAUCCUCAUUAGACGUAAAUUUUCUGAGGGCCUGGGGGAUGACUCAUUGAUUUUUAUGGUUCUCUUAUUUACUUUCACCUUAUCUUGGUGCAAAGAGAGCCAAGUUAAUAAUGUUGCUUUAUGUGCUUCCUACUCUUGCAGAAGUCUAACCCAUUACCUAAAGAAGAGAGCCUGUCAACCCAAAGCACUGGUAAGUCGAAGAAGCAGAGUGCAUUUCAAGAGCGUCUUCGUGCAGAGCGUGAAUCUUUCAAAGCUGUCUUUGAUAGGAGGCGACAGCGAAUUGGUGGACUUGAUUUGGAGGAGGAACCAUAGCGCAAUUUGGAUUCCAAACCACACACCCCCCCCCGCGCCUGGUGGCCGGGGCGGGUGGGCAGUAAUGCCUAGUUAUUUUUGUUGUACUGUUGGGGUUCUUUAAGCUGUUGUUCCUAGUAAAAUAGGUUAAUUAUUGUAUUUUAUGUUUUUUUUUUUUCCCCUUGGUUCGCCCCAAAAGAUAGCCCUGGAGAGUUCCGGUAAGGGGUAAUAAAAAUGCCUUUUGGUCAAGCCUAGCUGAGUAGUGAGUAGUAGAAAUUAGAGAAUGUUUUUGGGUUGGUCUGAAAACAAAAUGGUUUUCUACCCGACCCAAUGGCGUUUUUUAUAGAUAUUUAUUUUUGUAAUAACACGUAUUUUUCUCUUGUACAGAGAAUUUUGUAAUGCAUUUUAGAGCUCAUGCUUUUUGAUAAAACUAUUGGCUUCCAUCAUGCUGCCUGCCAUGUGGUGCGAAAAACAAAUGUUCGUGUACUUAAAAGUUAAAACUAUUCCAAUGGAAAAAAAAAAAAAAUGUUUGAUUACAUCUUAACACAAUGAACAAAAAGUCAUUUGCAGCACUUGGAAAAGGAACGAAGUCAAAUUUGUGUCUUCCGUUAAUCGAAUCUCGCUGCUAGUCUAUUUCGUGACCGGCCAUUGGUUUAAUGGGUGAAAGUCUUUAGGAUAAAAUGCAAUGGUAGUAAGUGGAUUCUGGCGUCGGUUUGACAAGCAAGUGCAUCCUUCAUUCAUAAAAUUGCAUGCAAGUGUGUGGGCCCUACCAAAAAUCAGCUAGACUACAUAAUACAGUGUAUCCUCUCAUCAGAACGUAACAUUUUUCUCUACCACUGCAUUUCGCUGACGGCAAAGUGUUCCCUCUCUCUCUCUCUCUCUCAGAGUCUCAUCCAUUCUCUUUGGUUACUUGAUGGCUAGUGCUGCUGGGCACUGCCUUGUUCGCUUCAUGGAUCCAGAUUCAAUGAAAAGCAUUAGUAUGUGUACCCAACCAGUUUCCAGCAGGCACUCCCUUCAAAAAUUUCACCAUGUAAAUAUAACUGUAAGCCACCCCCUCUUAUAUUAGUAAUAAAAAUAUUACAUAUAUAUAUAUAUAUAUAUAUAUAUAUAUUCUGGGUUCCCUUUGCCUGAAUCUUUAUUAUGUCAUGUAACAGAGAUAUCAAUCGUGUUCAUUGUCCAUGGCCAUGAUGAAUGGUUGCAAAGGAGACCCUCGGCUGCCUGUGGGUAUCAUUGACAGUUGUACGUUACCUGCAGUUCCAUCUCCAGCGCUGGCCUUGGAGAAACUUCACUCUGCCAUUUUCGGGUUGAAAUCCAACCCACCUCCAUUCACCUCUGGCAUCAUAAGGCUACAAGUAAGCAUAACUUCUCAUUUUCUUCGGUGUUCCAAAUUUCUUUGAUACGGAUGACCCUCCUUAUCUUUUGUGGACUAAUUAAUCCGUGCGGAAUUUUAUUGUGACACGUGGUUCGUGGGCAUUGGAUGUUGUGAUCUUCCCCACCCCCACACCCCAAAAAAAAAAAAUGCACUACGUGAUUGAUUUGUAAGUAGGAACCAGAGUCCUGGUUUCAAUUGCAAUAUUUCAUUACCAAUAAAGAAAACUCCAAAAGUUUAGGGGCUCAAAUACAAAUUCCUAAAAAUACAAGGACAUUUAUGGAAAUUCAUAUCAAAAUCUACGUUCCCGCUCUUUCUAUAUUCUGCAUCAACUGUAGCUGUAUUUAACCUUCUUUUUUUUUUAAAAAAAAAAAAAUUAAUCAUUCAUUUGCCUUCAUCAUUGAUUGAAGGUGCCUAUUGAAGAACAAAUCCAAGCAAUUGAUUGGCUCCAUGCUCAGCACCAACUUCUUCCACGCUGUUUCUUUUCUGGUCGAAGCCGAAAAAAGGAUUCUGAUAUUUCCGUUGUCUUUCCCAACGGUAAUGGCCAAAGCUCAGUCACCCACAAUUUGGUCAGCGUAGCUGGUGUGGGGUCUGCUGUCUUCUUCCGAAAUCUCCAUCCAUUUUCUUACAAUGAUUGGAGGUCUAUUAAGAGGUAAAGUUCAUACACAUGCUGACCAGUCAUUAGUGCACCACUUAACACCCGAUUCACCACCAGCGAACUACACUUCUAAUGUUCCACUUCUUUGAUUGAAGGUUUAUCUCUACAGAAUGCCCUAUGAUUCGCGCUUACGGGGCAAUGCGUUUCGAUGCAAGGGCCAAUAUAUCAUCUGAAUGGGAAGAUUUUGGUUCCUUCUACUUUAUGAUUCCUCAGGUAGAGCAAUUGUUUUCUUUCGCGAGUUCUGUGUACUCAUAUCCAUGAAUCAUUUAAUUUUUGUUUGUAUUUAUAAGAUCUGUUGCUAGAUACUAAAUGACAGGUUGAGUUUGAUGAGCUUGAACGGAGUUCUACGCUUGCUGUCACUCUUGCAUGGGACGAUGCCCUUUCCUGGACAUGGGCAAAGGCCAUUUCUACACUUGAAUCUACAAUGGACAAGGUAUGUAUGACUGAUUGAUUUGUGUUUGUUGAAUAAUGGAUUUUCUGAUUAUCGAAUAAUUUUUCUUUUUUUUUUUGGGGUUCCACUCCUUUUAUACGUAUCCUUAAUGAUGCAGGUUUCUUCCAAGAUUGUAAGGUUACAAAAAGAAGUUUCAAGAACAUUUAUCUUAAGUAAUCAUCAUAGUCCCAGUAAGAUGCAUUGGGAUCUUGCUGUUAAGAAAGCUUUGGAGAUAAUUAAUAGAAGUAGCACACCUCUUACCAAGGUAUUGACAAUCAUAACCAUGCCUUCUUUUGGUGAUAAAAUAGUUUGAGGACAGUAAUUGUGAACUAUCGUAUAUCUUACAUAAGCAUCUGAUAAAUACCCAUUUUGCCUGGAAAUUUAGGUCGUACUAGCGCGUAGCAGCAGAGUAAUAACUGCUACUGAUAUUGAUCCUAUAGCAUGGUUAGCUUGUCUAAAGGUACUCUUUUCGUUUUAUAAUUCAUUGUGUAGUGAGCAUAUCCUUAUAUGUCUGAUACAAAUGAAAUGACUCAUGCUUCAGCAAGUUGAAGGGGAAAAUGCUUACCAGUUCUGUCUUCAGCCUCCUGAUGCUCCAGCCUUUAUUGGAAACACGGUAAGUGAGUCUUUAAGCUUAUACUUGAAAUAAAAAGGAGUUGUGCAAAGCUUCUUUUAACUGCAUCCAGCAUAAUAAUUAUUAUUUCUUCUUUUAUAAAAAAUAAAAAAUAAAUUCACGGCUUAAUGUGAGAUCAAAUAACUCUAUUCUUACUUGGACUUCUACAAACUUUAUGAAUAGCCAGAGCAACUAUUUCAUAGAAAAUGGCUUAAGAUUACAAGUGAGGCUUUAGCUGGAACCCGUGGUAGAGGUGGAACAACUGCUUUAGAUCUUCAAAUAGAGCAUGACCUACUCUCAAGGUUCAUUUUCUUUAUUUUUUUAAUUUAUUUGAAUAUCAUCUUUUAUUUAUCACUUGCUAUGAAUCAUUUUUAAUUCUUUGUAACCAGUUUACGUGCAAUUCAUAUCAUGUAAUUUUUCCUUGUUCUACCCCUUGCAGUCCGAAGGACCAUCUCGAAUUUACUAUAGUACGUGAAAGCAUAAGAAGCAAAUUAGAGGCAAGUUUAUAUUAACUAUCUUUGUCUUUCAUCUAUAUAGUUUUUCUUCUUUGCAAAGAAAUGCCUUUCACUUGUGAUUAAACCAGUCUUUAACCCUAUUUUAUUGUGUAGGCAGUAUGCAACAGGGUAGUGAUUGAACCCAAGAAAGCAAUACGUAAACUUCCAAGAGUUCAGCAUUUGUAUGCUCGAUUGGCGGGCAGACUAAGAAGUGAGGAUGAAGAGGUAAAGCUAAUGCAUUUUGUUUUUCAAACAUUGAAGCAUCCCUUGAGAAACAUAAAAGUAUACAUUUUUAAUUCAGAUUCUGACCAAUAUGUUCCAUCCUCUACAGUUUGCGUCCCUGUUCUUAGAACUCUUCCAAAUAUGCAUUUACCUAUUUCCGGAAAUGUUAGGAUACACUUGUUAAUUUUUUGGAGUUUAAAAUUUUGUUUCGCUUGACUUUUGUAAAUUAUGCAACUCUGACUUUAAUCUCUUCAUUUCUCUCUUUUCACUAGUAUGAUAUCAUGGCUUCUCUUCACCCAAGUCCAGCAGUCUGUGGAUUUCCGACUGAAGAGGCACGCCUUUUAAUUGCAGAAACUGGUAGGUGCUUGUAAUUUGAUAUUGGUUAGUGGAUAUGGAUUUGUAUUUCCUAUUAUGAACUGGAGAGCUGUAGACUUAAGGGAAUAAAUGAAAAAACUAUGUUUUGAACAUUGAAUGUGACAAUUGGCCUAUGAAUCUCUUGUAUCGGUAUCUCUUUCUUUAUCUGAACACAGGCAGAUUAGUUAUCAAUUAUAGUUCUUGUAUUUAUAGUUUGCUCCAUUGAUCAGAAGUCUAUAGUAGGCUUAACGAACUCCUCUUUGCCCUCUUUUAGGCAUGACAAGACUUCAACUUACUAUCCCAAAAUCCUGAAUCUGUGUAUCUAAAACUAAAAUUGCUAUCCUGUUACCUGUGUGCAUAAGCUAAUGUAUUCCCAAAUAUGGUAUGCAGAAGUAUUUGACAGAGGAAUGUAUGCUGGGCCAGUUGGCUGGUUUGGAGGAGGAGAGAGUGAAUUUGCUGUUGGCAUCAGGUCGGCAUUGGUGGAAAAGGUGUGCUCUGACUUGUAAUGAUUACUUUAUUUUCAAGUAAGAAUUCUAGUUGUCAGCCAGCAUGUGAUGUUGUAAUCAAUAUGUUAAGUAAUUCCACCAGUAUUUCUAUUUUCUGUGAAGCUGAGAACAAAAUGACUGCUGUUGUUUCUAGGGGCUUAUGUCAUUAUGUAGUCAUCCUGUUGCCAAAUCUUAAUUCUGACUAUUUUACUACCCAGGGCCUUGGUGCAUUGAUAUAUGCCGGAACAGGGAUAGUAGAAGGAAGCAACCCAUCUUUGGAGUGGGAUGAGCUCGAACUGAAGACAUCUCAGGUGUGUGCAUGCUUUUCACAGACAUCCCUUUUUCUCCGUGAAUCCAUUAUUGUGUAUUAACAAUAUGAGGAUAUUUUCCAAAUAUCAUAUUAGCGAGUUUUGAUCCAUUGUGCAGUUCACCAAGUUCCUUAAACUUGAGGUGCCUUUGCGAUCAAGAUUUGAAAACAUUGGGACUCCGAACUGAAAAGGUCAGUGUUUUCAGUUACUAAUACAUUUUUAUACUUUUCUCUGCUUCUUCCCUUUUUUUUUUUUUUGAGAGGAAAGGUUGUUUCUCCAACUAAGACAUUGGUAGAUAUAUAGUUUAGAGAAUUCACUAAGUAGAUGAUUGUGGUUUCACUGCAGUUAGCAUUCUGCUGACCAGGAUGAAGAAAAAAGCUUCCAAAAGCAUGUCUAUUUCUUUUUUUCCCUGAAAAGAGAAGAAUUGUAUCUGGCAUAAUAUUGGCUGUCCAAAUAUUUUGGUUAGCUCGCUCACCUGUUUCAAACUCCUCAGUGUCUUGAAAACAUUAAUGGAGCAGAUUAGCUCCAUCGUUCUGACAACGAUCGGAAGUGAUCUCCAGGCAUUUUAAAUCAAGUGGCAGGAAAAACAAUAACAAGUAUUAGCAAAUUGUAUCAACAGUUUUGAUUUGUUUCACCUAAAUAGUAGGAGGGGCCAGGCAGCAUGUUGUUCGGUUGCAUCAAUUAUAGAUCAGUCUCCUGCACAUUUCAUAGAACAAAACUUUGCCAUUGUCGAUUUAAAUGACUGAAAUUUUAUGUUUCCUUAAAUAAUAAUUUAUUACAUUGCUACAUCACUCAGUUCAAUCAGAGGAUUGCAAAUAUUUCACCUUUACAUAUGUACACCAAGAACAUCAUAAGGACGGAAAUGAUUUGUCUGAGAUUCCUAGUUGUAUAAUACAACCUCUGUUCUAAAUGACAGGGUUCAAGAUAAUAAGAAUUAACAUGGCUUAUUCACAUAGCAAUUAAGAGCACCUGAAAAGCGUGUCAUCUGGGACGCAAAUUUCCCAGGCUUCGCAGGUAUCACAUCCUGUCUGUUCACAUUUCUGACGUCGCUCCCUGAUUCAACAAAGAAGGCUCCAUUCAUCAUCAAAUCCAUUUCUGACCUCCAAUUCCAUGUUUUCCAAACACUUUGCGGGGAAGAGUCCCUCUUGGUCACCUUCAACGAAAGUAUUAUUAACUCGUCAAAAUUAUGCAGCACAUUGUAACAAAAGUCAAAAGGAAGAGGGGGGUUGUUACGACUGUACCUCUUUAGAAUGGUGACUGUUAGAGGCAAGGAAUCGGUUACCCUGGCUAAGGAUAGUGGGAUGCUGGCUACCGCCUAUAGCAUACAUUAGCCAAUGAGUGUAGUCAUUGUUGACAACAUGCGCAAAUCCAAAUCGGACUCUGGGCAUUCUCUGCACUAAUUGUUUACCAAAGUGAUUGAAAGCAACAGUAACUUGCAUGAUUGAAUCUUGCGGGUGGCCAUCACUUGCGCCUAACAACAUCACAUGAUCCUGGUGUGUGAAGUGGGAAUUGGAAACGGUGAUCGCAGUUGAUCCCAUUACAGCAUCAAUCAGUCCAUCUUGGCAACCAGACAUAGACACAUGGUCAAUCCAAAUAUGAGAGGCUCCAAACAUUGAGAUUCCAUCACCAUCACUAGACAAGCGAAAGCCAUAAUGACUAACCGAGUCCCUAAUCAUGCCACCCUUGCCUGCUUUAGUUUUACGAAUGUGAAGGCCAUGGAUGAUAAUGUUCUUCACAAACUGCAUCGUAAUUUGAGCACCGUUGUAGAUCUGAACAUUAGAGCCACGCGCAUCAAUGGUCUUGUCACUAGUUAUUAGUAGCUCUUCGCUGAGCCUAAUGACCAUGUCAUGAGCAAAUGUGAUCCAAAGAGGCCUUUCUUGGAUGACAGCAUGGCGUAAAGUUCCUGGUUUGGGAUUCACAAGGUCGUCGUCUGCUGGGUUUGUUACUACGUAAAACGGACCGUUUUUGCCUCCAAUGGUGCCGCGUCCAAACCCUUGGGCACAGUCAGCUAGCCUCUUGCGGUUAUUAGCCCAGUUUCUGUCACAUCUCCAGCACUGAUCUAUUGGGUUUGUGGCUGCGCAUCUUCCUGUAUAUGGACGUCCCCUCAGAUACCUCCUCGUGCUAUUACCAUUUUCGAACAUCCUAUUUUUAAUUUAAUUAAAUUAAUACUCUCUAAGUAAGAAAUUGAUUAAUGAUGGAUUGAAAAUUAAAAAAAAAAAAAAAGUAAAGAAAACUAUGUACUGACUAACAAUAAUAUUAAUUUUCAAUACUAAUAAUAAUAAUAAUAAUGUGGGAGAGUGUGUGUGUGUAUUCAUAUGCGAAGCAAAGUUAAUUAAUUACUUACAUGUGAACGUGCUUAUUGAAACUACUAACGACUUCUUCAGGAUUUGGAUGAUAAGCUUCAAGGGCAUGCCUUCUAGCAUUUUCAGCUCGCUUCUGCCACACCUCAUCGAAAUCGUGAAUGUUAGCCUUCAAGAUCGGGGAUAUUGAAGCCAAACCAAAUAGAGUUAACAAUAUUCCUGCAUUUGCAGCUGCCAUCACAUGCAACUGUUGUCCUUUAAUUAAUCUUGAUAUUAGUGUGUGUAUUUUCUUUUUUAACUGCGUGAUUUGGAUUAAUUAAACUUGGGUUCUCUCACCCGUUGCCAUUGUAUGAAGAGACAAGAUCAAGUUUUUUCUUGGUGAUGUGGUUGAAAUAUUUUUCAGGCAAAUAUAAUGAGAUUUUACAAAGAUUGCUUUCAAGUACGAUUUAAAGCAAUAAUUAAUCUAAAUUUAGAAAAGAUAAUAAGGCAGGCGUCGAGAGGGAAGGGAGGAAAGCCGCUUCCCCUCAACGGAUCAACUAUUAGUUUUGGAUAUUUAUAACAUGAGGUAGAUAUUAUCCUUUGUUUUAUGUAUGCUUCAUGCUAGCUAGCUACUACGUGUUCGGAUACAUGACCAUGAUUGUAAUUCUUUUUUUAUAUCUACUAAUGGCUUUGGCUCGCAAGUACUCUGCCUCCUGUUUGUAUUUUAAUCAAUUUGUACACUCGCAUAUUUGAAUUUCAUGGUUGAAGAAAGAUAAUCGACAAAUGAAAUCCUUAAAGAUGGUUGUGUAAUGGAUUACAUUGGUCCAUUUAGAAGUCGCAUGGCCCGUAGACGUUGGAGUAAAUAGGAUUAAUUCUAGAUUCUUUAUCAAUGGUAAGGUUUAAAUUUUGGGGUUCUAACAGAUCCCUAAUUAUAAAGUCGAGAGUUAGAGAAGAAUUAAAAAUCAUUAGCAUCAAUUGAUACACAAGUUUUCUUAUUACAAGAACGUAAAUGCUAAAGUUUGCAUUAUUUUAUAUAACAGCUUAUCUUCUGACGGUCAUUUUUAUUAACCACAAAACCGAUCAUUGUGAGGUGCGAGGGAAUUGUAAAAGGUGUCGUUUGGUGGAAGCAUUCGCAAUGUCGAUACGUGCAAUAAGCUAAAAUGUAGCAGAGCACGCGUCCAAUGUCGACGUAAUCCACAUAAAAUCUUUUGGUACACAUAACAAGCAAAGAAUACUCCCUUUCCUUCCCUCUAAUCCACAUUGCAUACUUGUUUGUGUAGGCUGCCAAAAACUUAAAAGCCCUAACACCGUAAGUUUAGAAUAACUAUCCCACAUAAAAAAUCUGUGUGAAUCCGAUCAUGGAGUUUCCCAUUUCUAUAAAUGAUCGAUACGUACGUAUCCAUAUAAUAAACCCAUAACCCAUAUUACCAUUACAAAAAAUAUGGCAAACGUGGGAAGAACAAGAAGAGACGGAGAAAAAACCCUCACGAAUAACCCCAUAGUCAAAGAGUUUGUACCUUCGUCAGGUUGGACGGAGGACUCCAAUGGCCAUUAUCUCCUUGUCGAUCUACCAGGUACUCAACCAGAACUAGAAUUGAUCUUUACUGUAAGAUUAUAUAUAAUGGUAUUGAUAUUUAUUAAUGGUUAAUAUUAUUAUUGUGUUGCGUUAUAUAAAGACUUCAAAAAAGAGCAGGUGAAGCUUCAGGUGGACAGCUCUGGAAACAUAACAGUCAGCGGAGAAAUGCUGACGAGUGACAACAAAUACAUAAUGCGGUUCGAGCAGAUGUUUCCAUUGCCACCCAAUUCAGAUAUGGACAAGAUCUCGGGGAAAUUUGACGGCGAGCUACUUUAUGUUACUGUGCCAAAGAGAGCAAAAGAAGAGUCGACGGAGCAACCCUCGCUUCCUGCAUCUGCAUCUGGAGAAAACGAACAACAAAUUCUUCAUCGCAAUGAUGAUAUCCCUGAAAAUGUCGUCGAAGAAAGCAACGACCAUCAGAUGCGAGAGGGUGAUGAUGAUCGUGCCUGCCAAACGAACAACAAAGAGAAGAAGAACAAUAAGAGCGAAAAGGAUUCUUGUGUGGAUAGUUUUGGUGAAGAUUUCUUACGAAAAUGGGGAAAUGAGCCAAGUCAUCCAUUUGAAAGGGGAAUGAAGAUACUGCGGAGAAACAAGGGGAUUAUUAUUACGGCAGUAUUGGCUUUUUCACUGGGCGUGUUAUUAUCUCGUAAAUUCGGAUCUGCUGAUCAUAUUGAUUCUGAUUAAUUUGCAUUUAAGGUGUCAGUAAUAAUUUAUGCUUAUGUUUGUUUGUUUGUGAUAUUUAUGUGUUCAUGUAAAUAUUGGUAUGCACAUCUGCGUGCCUGCCUAUGUACAAGUAUAUAGAGAAUAAAAUGUUAAUUUGCUGGUAUAUACUAAAAGAAAUUUCAAGUAAUGAGUUCCUUGCAUUUUGGUUAAUUAAUUAUCUGCCGCAUGCUUCGCAUAAUUAAUUAUCACAUGGAAUUUACAAUUCCCUAACUGAGCUCUUGCUUGUAACUGAUCAAUUAAUGUACUUUACUGAUCACAUGCAUGGAUGAUUCCAUAACAAUCUAAGAAGAUGGAAUUACGUACAGAUUCAACGUAACCAAGCAGUAGUUGAUGAGAAAAAAAGGAGAGAAAAGAAAAGAAGAGGCAUGCAGGACCGCACCCCAAGGUGAACGAGAGAAUACAGAUGAUGAUUUUGAAUAGAAACUUGGUGUGCGAUCGAGCGACAACAUGAAUGAGACAUAUCAUACAAUUAAUUUCAAAUUUUAUCCUGUACGUUCCCAAAAUAUGUGUGCCAAUCAAAUGAUGUCUAUCCAUAAACAACCAGAUUGAUAUUUUAUUAAGGGUCUUGUGGCGUUACAAAUUGAAUAAUAACAUGAAUCAGGAGUUUAAUUUUUAUUAAUACAUACAUAGAAUUCUCAAAAGUUCUGCAAUGCAUAACAAAAGCAGCCAAAACCUGCAUAGACGAAACUUUAUCAAUGUUCCAAGAUCAAAUUUGAUUGGAUGCUGCUAGACAAGAAAAAAGAGAAAAAAAAAAAAAAGUUAAAAAAAGAAUGGCAUCAAAUUAUUGGCUAGCUGUUGGCUAUUGGCUAUUCCUGUUUCAGCAAAUAUUCUUGGGUUUUUUUUACGAAGUUGCAUGUAGCAUCGCAUUGCUCUCUUCCACGAAAUAUCCUGCAAACACACACAGACAGCAGCAUGCAUCUAGAUAUAUAAUCAGGGAAAAAAAAUAAAAACUUUAUCCUGUAGGAUCAGAUUCUGAAAGUAGUCCACCAAUUCAAAAGGGAACUCGAAAGCCACCUAAAAAUGUCGCGCGAUGGAGAAGCUUCUUUGGCAAUGGUGCCAAAGUUUCACCAUUGGUCCCAAAUUAACGAGAAUGUUUAAUGAUAGUGGAUUUCUUGUUCUGAUUGGGAUGAGGAUUCCACCUGUAAAUUAAAUUUGAGUUAGGUAGGUUAUCCCGGAAAAUUCUACUACCACCACCUGAGAAGUUAAAACUUUUAGCGUGCGGAGUCAUCUCCUAUAUAUUAAAAUUCAAUCUUAGAUAUUUUCUUGUUCGCUCUUUUAAUUUUAGCCUAAUACGGCCUUAUUUGAGCCCUUCGCGGUGUUGUAUUGUUGGCUCUUUUUUAGCCGUAGUAAUAAAACUCAUUAUUAUUAUUAAAAAAAAAAAAGAAGCUGGUGAAUUUCUUUCUUCAGUUAAACCUAGGAUUUGGAAAUAUAAUAGUAAAGUUCAGUUUUGUGACUGUCAAGAUGCGGCAUGCACCAUCUCACUCGUUCCCUCACCCCAGAGUCAUGUGAAUGGAUACACAAAGACACAGAUGCUAAGAUGGAUAAUUUACUUUUGGCUAAAACUAACUAAUUGAAUAUAUAGGAAAAUAAAAAGAUUAUAUAUGUAUGAAACGGUAACCUAAAUCAUCAUCACUUCUUUAACUAAUUCGUAAUUUUUCUCUUGGUUUUUAUUGGAGGAAGGGGUGAACAUAAUUAACCGAGGCAAACUUGAAAUUAAACAAAAAUUCGUGACAGCAGCUUCGAGAAGAAAAUUGUAUUUGUAUCCAUAUUAAAUAUAUAUAUAUAUAUAUAUAAUAAAGAAAAGGUGAUGAGCAUUUUGUUUGGUCUUUAAGAUUGUUGACAAGGGAAGAACGUCAGAGAAGAAUAAGAGAGGCCGAACGGGUGAAAAAGGUGAUGCUUUUGUGGAUCAACUUUAUUCAAAAUGUGGGUGCUUUUGACAAAAAGAAAGCGCACGGUUUGGAGGUGGAAUCAUGUGCCUUGCGCACCACACCACAGCCCACAGGCAUCAUAUCCUAUGUGACUCUUGACUAUGGAAAAGUCUCCAUUUUCUACAUCUCUAAUAAAUCUCUCUAUAUAUGCUCUCUCUUCUUUUUCUUAUCACUCUCGUUCGCUUCAAGCUUGCUUGGUCAUCCAAUUUCAACUAAUUAAUCACUACGUAAUUAAAUUAUUAAUUGAGACAGCCAAUGCAAAUCGUCUAAGCUCGGCGCGAAAAUGUUAAAUCCUAAGACAAAAAAUCGACGGUCAUUUAUGAACUGAUCAUAAAUUUAUAUAUAGUACGUAACUAUCACAGAAGAAUCAGCUAUGCUGGGAUAUUGCAAUUGCUUGUGAUUUCAUUAAAGUUUAUGUAAUUUGCAAGCUCCUAUAUUCCUCCUAUUAAAAUAAUAAUAAUAAUAAUAAUAAUAAUAAUAAUAAUAAUAAUAAUAAUAAUAAUAAUAAUGUAAAGAAGCUGAGGUGGAUAACGAACCCGUAAAGUAGGGGGAAGCCGAAAAGUAGCAAAGCAAAAAACUUGACGAGAGAGAAUGGAAUCAUUUUUCCAUUGCAGUGCCACACACACUGCACAAAAAAAACAUUCGCUUAAUCUACAGUAACAAUACCAAGUAAAAGAUUAAAAGGAAAAAUCAAAACACAGCAACGAAAUCAAAUAAUAAAAACACCAGCUAACAAAACAAAACAACAGCAAAUUCAAUAAAGCGAAAUCCGCCUCAUUUCUCUCUCUCUUUCUCACCCGCUAUCAACGCUGCCCACUCCGUGUCCAAAACCCAAAAACCCCCUCUCCCCCCACUUUCCGCUUCUAAAAUGAGACCAUGACGACGCCGUCUCAACCACCGCCACAGCAGCAGUUCACCGUACGCAAACUUGUCGUGGAAGUUGUGGACGCACGUGACCUUCUCCCCAAAGACGGCCAGGGAAGCUCCAGCCCCUACGUCAUCGCUGACUUUGACGGUCAGCGGAAGAGAACGUCCACCAAAUUUCGCGACCUAAACCCUGUAUGGAACGAGCCGCUGGAGUUCAUGGUCUCCGACCCCAAGAACAUGGACUACGAAGAGCUCGAAAUCGAAGUCUACAACGACAAAAGGUACUGCAAUGGCAGUGGCCGUAAGAACCAUUUCCUCGGAAGGGUCAAGUUGUGCGGCAGCCAGUUUGCUAGGCGAGGAGACGAAGGCUUGGUGUAUUUUCCGUUGGAGAAGAAGAGUGUUUUCAGCUGGAUUCGAGGUGAGAUUGGGUUGCGAAUUUAUUACUACGAUGAGUUAUCUGAGGAGGAGCAUCAGCAUCCACCACCGCCUCCAGACGAGCCGCCGCCGCCGCCUCAGCAACAGCCGGGGGUGUGUGUAGUUGAAGAGGGACGAGUUUUUGAAGUUCCAGGAGGACACGUGGAGGUUUGCCAUCCUGUUCCGGAAAUCUAUCAUGGCCAGCCGCCGCCACCAGCUUCUAUCAUCGACGAAUCUCAACCGCACGGGGUGCACGUGCAACCUGGACCGGUCCAAAUUCCGUCUCAUGAUGAGCCGAUUCCGACGGCGGUUCCGGCGGCCGAGAUUAGGAAGAUGCAAAGUGGAUGUGCUGAGAGGGUUAGUGUUUUGAAGAGACCAAACGGCGAGUAUUCACCUAAAGUGAUUAAUUCGAGUAAGCCUAAUGGAGAAGUUCCAACGGAAAGGAUCCAUCCGUACGAUCUCGUUGAACCGAUGAUGUAUUUAUUUGUCAAAAUCGGAAAAGCGCGUGGGUUGGCUCCAAACGAGGCCCCGUACGUGAAAAUAAGAACCUCCAGCCACUACAAAAAAUCAAAACUAGCGAGUUACCGAGCCUGUGACCCACACGACUCGCCCGAGUGGAACCAAGUUUUUGCGCUUUUUCACAACAAGAACGACUCCGUCAGCGCGACCUUGGAGAUCACGGUGUGGGACUCGCCGACGGAAAAUUUUCUUGGUGGUGUUUGUUUUGAUCUCUCAGAUGUUCCAGUGCGGGACCCACCGGAUAGUCCCCUGGCCCCACAGUGGUAUCGCCUUGAGGGCGAAGCUUCAGAUCAGAAUAACAGAGUGUCCGGCGACAUUCAGCUCGCAGUGUGGAUUGGAACUCAAGCCGACGAAGCGUUCCCUGAAGCGUGGAGCUCAGACGCUCCCUACGUGGCUCACACGCGCUCCAAGGUUUAUCAAUCGCCCAAGUUGUGGUACCUGAGAGUUACUGUGAUGGAAGCUCAGGACCUUUGCAUUGCUCAUAAUUUGCCUCCGCUAACGGCGCCGGAGAUUAGAGUUAAAGCACAGUUAGCGUUUCAGUCUGCACGGACGAGGCGUGGGUCCAUGAGCAAUCAUAGUUCGUCGUUUCACUGGCACGAGGACGUGUUCUUUGUAGCCGCCGAGCCGUUUGAGGACUCGCUGAUUUUGCUAGUCGAAGACCGUACAGCCAAGGACGCAGCGGCAGUGAUACUGGGACACGUUGUGGUUCCUGUGAGCUCGAUUGAUCAACGAAUUGAUGAGCGCCACGUGGCAAGUAAAUGGUUUCCAUUGGAGGGUAGUUGUGGCCGGGGAUGCGCACGGUCCUACUGCGGGAGAAUUCAGCUAAAAUUAUGUUUGGAGGGUGGUUAUCACGUGCUUGAUGAGGCAGCUCACGUGUGUAGUGACUUUAGACCCACGGCUAAGCAGCUGUGGAAGCCGCCUGUAGGGAUUUUGGAGCUGGGGAUUUUAGGCGCGCGUGGAUUGUUACCGAUGAAAACCAAAAACGGAGGCAAAGGGUCCACUGAUGCUUACUGUGUAGCCAAGUAUGGUAAAAAGUGGGUGCGUACCCGAACCAUUACUGACUGCUUUGAUCCACGCUGGAACGAGCAGUACACGUGGCAGGUGUAUGACCCUUGUACCGUCCUCACCGUUGGAGUAUUUGACAACUGGCGAAUGUUUGCUGACGCGUCGGAGGAGAGACCCGAUUACCGCAUUGGAAAAAUUCGCAUCCGCGUAUCAACUCUGGAGAACAACAAGGUGUAUACAACUUCGUAUCCAUUGCUGGUAUUGUUGCGGACCGGAUUAAAGAAAAUGGGCGAAAUUGAAUUGGCGGUUCGGUUUGUGUGCCCUUCAAUGUUACCCGAAACUUCCUCCGUAUAUGGGCAGCCACUGCUUCCAAGAAUGCAUUACUUACGGCCGCUAGGGGUGGCCCAGCAGGAGGCAUUGCGUGGAGCCGCUACAAAGAUGGUGGCUUCGUGGCUAGCCAGGUCGGAGCCACCACUGGGGCCUGAGGUUGUGAGGUACAUGCUGGAUGCGGACUCUCAUGCAUGGAGCAUGAGAAAGAGUAAAGCCAAUUGGUUUCGGAUUGUUGCGGUUCUUGCAUGGGCUAUUGGGUUGGCUAAAUGGUUGCACAAUAUAAGAAGGUGGAAGAAUCCGGUUACUACGGUUUUAGUGCACGUGUUGUAUUUGGUUCUGGUUUGGUACCCGGAUUUGAUUGUCCCAACUGGGUUCUUGUAUGUGGUCUUAAUUGGGGUGUGGUAUUAUAGGUUUAGGCCCAAGAUACCGUCGGGUAUGGAUACAAGAUUAUCACAAGCGGAAACGGUAGACCCGGAUGAGCUGGAUGAGGAGUUUGAUACAAUACCGAGUUCAAAACCAUCGGAAAUCAUCAGAAUGAGGUAUGACAGGUUACGUAUGUUGGCUGCAAGAGUACAGACGGUAUUGGGUGAUUUUGCAACACAGGGAGAGCGGAUGCAAGCUUUGGUGAGUUGGAGAGACCCAAGGGCCACUAAAUUGUUCAUUGGGGUAUGCACUGUUAUUACAUUGGUACUCUAUGUGGUGCCACCCAAGAUGGUAGCCGUGGCAUUGGGAUUCUAUUACUUGAGACACCCUAUGUUUAGAGAUCCCAUGCCACCGGCUAGCUUGAAUUUUUUCCGGCGGCUACCGAGCUUAUCGGACAGAUUGAUGUAAUAAUAGAGAAGAGUUGAAGAGUAGAUUCCAUUCAUUAGUUAUUACUAGUUUUAAGGCACCGAAGUAAAGUAAAAUAGGGGGAGUGGGUGGGGAUGAGGGUUGAGGUUGUGUUGAAAAGUUGUCUCUUUUUUUUUUGGGUUUUGGGGGGUUUAUAUUUCAUAUUUGAAUUUGAUUGACUGACUAUUGAAGAAGAAAAUUGAAAUAAGAGAAAGGAGGUGGUGGGGCACUUCCACUGGGACAGUUUGGGGGGUAAGAAAAUUGAGUGCCCGGUUCUGUACGAGUGUGGCCGACCCCAGAACCAGAAGAGAGAAGAGAUUGAUGUAAUGUAACGAUGUCUCAGAAAGUGAAAAACAUUCAAUUCAAUUGCUUUUCUAACAUAUAUUGCUUAACACCUUUUCUUCAACCAUAUCUUUAUUCAUACCUGUGUCAAUAAUAUAUUAUUAUUUCCAGCGUAAAGUGUAAAACUAUAAAUUUAUACAAUUUUCACGAUCGCAAUCACAGGUCGCAGCAGUUCCGUAUUUUUCAGUUUAGUUUCGGUACAGUUUCAUAAAGUAAGGAGGUCCAUUUGAUUUGCGAGAAGGCAUGGUGAUGGGCUGGGCCCAUAGCGUCGAUCAGAAAAUUUAGUCAAGCUGUAUGGCUGGCAGCUGGCAGCUGGCAGCUGGCAGCUUUCAGCUUCUUUUUAAGAAAAAUUUCAGAAAAUUUUGACUUUAAGAGCGAAUUUGUUCGGGGGUAGCGAUUUGGGUACAAGGUCUAGUUUAUCGACACAUGUGGAUACCGGUGGGAAUUAACCUACAAAUAGAAAAUACAUAUUGACUUUUAUAGUUGGGUGGUAUAUAAUAAUCACUCUAUUUUUAAAAAAUAGUUAUAAAAAUUUAUAGUAUUUUUAAUAAUUUUAAAUAAAGAAGAAAUUUGAAUAGUUAACCAAUUAGAUGUUUAUUAAAUGUUUAAAUUUAUUGCACAAAACAUAAGUUUGGACAAUUUAGUUAUUUUAUAUUAUAAGGGUAAAUAAUUCAAAUUAAAAUUAUGUUAAAACAAUAUUAGUGACCAACAAUGACCAAGAGACUUAUAUAAAGAAAAUUAUUUAAUUGAUUAAUUGUUUAAAUAAUUCUUUAUAUUCAAUUUUUAAAAAUAAUGUGAAACUUUUUUUAAAUGACGUGGAUUUACACUUGCUGUGGGGAGUAGAAAUAUUCCCAUCAUUUUCAGUUAGUCGACUUUUACAUAAAUGUGCAUUUACAAUUUUGCUCUCUUGACUAUUUAGUUUAACAAAGAGAUAACAAAAUUUGGGGGUUAAAAUUAGUAUUGUCACUAAUGUGAGGCUAAGCGUAUAAAGUUGACACUGAGAGUCUGAGAUUCAAAGUGACCAACAAAACAACUCUCGCUUGAACAAGUUAGGUCUUGAUGGCUGAUUAUUAAGCGUAUUUGUUAUUGGAAAACAAUAAUAAUAAAUAAGAAGAGUGAAUUUGAGAAUAAAAAUGAGUUUUUUAUUUAAAUAUGCCCCAUUUGUCCUUAAAUGCCAAAUCUAUACCCUAUUACAUACAUAUACCUCAUAAAAGUAUAAAAAGUAAAAAAUACCCUAAAAAGAUCAUCUAUCUAUAUUUUCUUCCUCUCUUAUGGCUUCUACACAAUAGCAUAACCAAAGUCGAGUAUACUUGACUUUUUACCCGAUUUAAUUAAAAGGAAAUUUCUCAUUUCAAUUUAAGUCGAGUAUUCUCAAUCAAUUACCAAACUUCCAUGAAAAUUUGAGAAUUUUUGUUGAAUGAAUAUCGGGCAAGGUUAAAUUAAAGUCGAGUAUCCUCGACUCUUUACUCGAUUUAUGUGAAAAAGUCGAGAAUUUUCCAGACAAUUUUUUAUUUCAAUUGAAGUUGAGUAUCUCGACUAUUUACCCGACUCACAUGAAGAAGUCGAUAAUUUAGACUGAAUUACUGAUUGUACAUAGUACGGUUGAAGUUGAGUAUUUUUUACUAUUUAACACACUUUAAGGAUAUGAGUUUAGUUUCUUGAGGAUUUAAUUGAGGUUAUUUUUGUACUUUUUCUGAUUUUUUAAAGUAUAUAUGUGUAAAACUAAAGAGUAUUAUAAUUUAAGACUUAUAUUAGGUAUUUUGGAGGAAAUGUGAUACAUGUAAAGCUGGCCAACAUGUCGAGCGACAUGUGGUACGGCACGGGUAGGGAUGGCAAUUGUACCCGCAAACCCAUCCAAACUCGCCUGUCAAAACCCAUCCGCUGCGGGUAAUUUUACCUGUUGCGGGUGGUUUAUUAUUAUAAACUAAAACCUACACAUGGAUGCGGGUGGGUUUGAUAUUAACCUUAUAUCCGAUGGAUACCCGCAUUGAUAUCCACCAGACCCGCAAUAUUUUUUCCAAAUAUUUUUAAUUUAAUUUUAAUCUAAAAAUGUAGAAAGAAAAUAAUGUAAUAAUUCAAAUUACCAAAUAGCAAAAGGCCCAAAGUUGUGUAUAUUAUAUACCUAUUUUAAUUUUGUAUGUAGUAUUUUUCUUUACCUUAAUACAUGAAUUAUUUCAUUAUUAUAAUUUUUUUCUCCGAAUUAGUAUUUGAAAAUAUUAAUCUUAAUUAUUAUUUUAGGAAUCGUGUUGGAUGAGUGCUUAUUGUGGUGAAUGAAAUGAAGAUCUUCUCUUGGAGCUUGUUUUAAAUGAUAAUAUGAAAUGUAAUUGUUAUUUUUAGGUAGUAGUUUGUGUUUUUUAAAUGAAUUUGUGUGAUUUAUACUUAUAUUUGAGAAUUUGUGUUGGAUUCAUGUUGAAAUUUUAAUUUUUCAUUUAUAUUGGUUAAAUAUAAAAUUGAGUAUGUUAUAUAAAAUUUGAGGUUAUUAUUAUAAAUUUAUAUAUUAAAUAUUUAUGAUUUUAAAUGCGGAAACCCACAAAAAAUCCGUCGAGUACCAUUGCAGGUUUGGUAAUUAUUAAAAUCCGCUGCGGGUGGGUUUUCUUAAAAAAGUUAAAACCUGCUGCGGGUUGCGGGUGGGUUUGGUAAUUUAAAUUUUGUGCGGGUUUUUGUAAUGGCAAACCCGCUACGGGCGGUGCCCAUUGCCAUCCCUAGGCACAGGUACGGCAUGUUUCGACAAGGCACACGGCACGACACAACACACAUGUGGGACGAGCCAGCCUCAUAUUUUUUGGCACGUGGGCCUUAAAAGCACGGCACUCCAAAAGGCAUGUAAUAAGCACACUUUAUUGGUGGGCUAGCACACGGCCCAUGGGCCAUCAAUAGCACGAGCGACAGUAUAUCAAAGGAAAUUUUUUUAAUAAAAAGUAAAAAUAAAAUGUUAUGAUUUUAUAAAUAUUUUAAAAUUAAAAUUUUUAAUAUAUUUUAUUAAAUUGAUUUAAGUCUUAGUUUUAAAAUAAUUUAAUUGUUUUAUGUUUAUCAUUUAUUAAAUGAAUAAAUAAAUAUAAUAAUUUUAAUAAAUAAAAUUAUAAAUAUCAUAAUUUUAUAAAUGAUAUUUCAAAAUUUUACGACAAUUAAUAUUUCAUUUAUAAAAAUCGUAACUUAAUUAAUGGAGAUAUGUUUCAUUUGUGAAUAAAAUAUUUUUCAUAUUUAUACAAAAAAAAUUAUGAACGAAAUAUUUUUUAUUUUUAUGAUAAAUUACAAGUUGCAUUUUCAUUCAAUGGAGUUCAAUUCCAAUUAUAAUAUUAAUUAAUAAUUCAAAUAAAAUUAGGUGUAAUUUGCUUCACUGCAGUUCAAAUAAUAUUGUUGUUUUGUAAUUGAAUUGGUAAUUGUUAAAUUAAACAUUUAAAUAUAUAAUUGUAAAAUUGUGAUAAAGUGAUAAUACAAUAUUAAUUGUUCUCUUAAUAGUUAAUAAAAAUUAUUAUUAUUGUUAUUGUUGUUAUUGUUAGAUGGACUGAUGGAUUUGAAAAAAUACGAUAGACACGUGGGUUUAAGCAAAGCACAUCACGUAUGUGAGCUUAAAAAAACAUGCGGGUUUAAAGAAAAAAUUGAUGGGCCAAAAAAUUGGGCUGGGCAUGGCACGGCCCAUCAAUUGGUGGGCUGAGGAAGGCCGUGCCGUGCCGGCCCGUGAAUCCUCACAGGCCUUGGUUUGCCGACACGGCCAUCGGCCACCUUUAGGCACAUGCCAAGCAAUUCCCCCAAUAAAAAGGCCAAAGAAGAACGGAUUUGGUAUGACGUACAUAAACAAUCAAUCAAAGCACAUCGAUCCCUGCUAAAGCCUGCAUCUGCAAGACUGCAACGACCUAAACGAUUGAGAUUCCAGGUCUGAAACUGUAGUCCCAUUUAAUUUUUCAUCAAUAAGCUGAAGGUUAAUUCCCAAUAAUUUAUGAUCAAUCAAGCUUGCAGAUGGUGAUCUCCCUCCCGUCUGUCAAAUAGAAGCAACUAGCAUCAUAUACAAUCAAAUCAAGAGACAUCUGACAAGUCCACACUUCAUGUGUCAAAAUAUACGAAAUUAAUUACCCAAAAAAAAAAAAGAAUUUUUUAUUGCUUUUGAGUUUUGACAUAGUUAUGAUUCUUCAGCAAUGAAUCCAAUACUUUCCAGGCCUUUCUUGCAUGAUAUAUGCGUAGGUGUAUACCUAGUUCCCAUGUUGGAUUGAUUAUCGAUUGGCUUCAAAAGAAAAACUUAAUUUAUGUGUAAAGAGUAUGACAACAAAUUAGCAAACGUGCAUAAAAUUAUUAUUCAACUAAUAAGUAACAUGCGACCGCAUUCUCGAACCAAUUUGAGUACAUGCCCUUUAUUUUUAUUUUUAUUUUUAUUUUUGGAAUAUUUUGCUCGUACGGGCAUACAUAAUGUAUGCCUAUAGCUAUAACAUACAUAUGUUUGCUUACUAUUAACUUGAUUUGUCUGAUCUUUAAUUUGUUUUAUUUGCAGUAGUGAAGCCUCAAUUAAUACAAAAAUCCAGUAUCUGCUGUGUAUAUUGGAUUAAUUUUUAAUAUGGGAGAUUCAGCAUAAAUAGAAAAAAAAAAAAAAAAAUCAAUCAUCGUGUCAAAAAAAGGUUCCCUGCUUGUCUUGUCUGUUCACUGAUCCGAAUAUGAUCAAAGCACGUAUAUACGACUGCUUUUGUUGCUUGUGUGCUUGUUGCUCAAGUUCAUGCUUUACAAAGAUGGAGGUACAAAUUUCAAGUUUUUUUUCCUCCAAUUUCAGCAUGCAAGCUCGAUGUGUGCGUGUGUGUAUAGCCAAGCCUCGUGCAUUUGGAUUCUGCCCUCUGUACAUUUUCAACUGAGAGUGAAGCUCACUUCUUGUUGUACAUUUCUCUUAUUUUUUUUACCUUCUACAGUUCCAUUUUCGGACUGGAAUCAAAUGACUUAAAAAUCUUAAAAGUUUUCCCGUCUUUUUUUGGUCUAGCUCCUUAUAGAGCCCCUUGUAUUAAAAAAAAUUGAUGUCUCUUCAAUGGGAUGUGACAAAAAGUUAUUAAACUUUUAAUAGAUUCUUGGAAAUUUCGCUUUAUACAUAAGUACUGCAUGAGGAAACUUCCUUUUUGACCCUUUCUAUCCUCGCCCGAUAAUAAAUCGCCUUGCCACCCAAAUCACAAUUUGUUAAUAGAAAAGUUUUGAACUCCACUGUUCAUAAGAUUAAACAAAUGAGCAACAGUCCUGGUUUAUAUAUUGAUAUUGGCAAAAAGGCCAGAGGUUAGUUAUGUCAUCUUCGGUUCUUUAGAAUGCUUAUUUUUAUUAAUAUACUGAAUAUUUUGCGCUCAUAUUAAUUAAUCCUUGCUUGCUUGGUUCUACGCAAGAUCUUCUCUACAAGGAUUAUGGCGAUAAGCAACCAGCAAAUCACUUCCGCUACGAUUGCGUGGACAGCAAUUUUGAUGUUUCCUGUCAAUGUAAUUUAUGAUGACAAUGAAGUUUCUCUUUCAAUAUCUCUCUUGCCCUGUAAUGAUAUAGUCAAUUGAAAUGCAUUACCAAUACAUAUUUGCUUCUUAUCAAUCCACAUAUUGUGGGUUGUUGCAUUACGGAAUUUACUCAGUUUUUUUGCUUCUCAUAGCUGGACAUUAUCAACUUACGAUCUUAUUGAAUAUAAUGAUCUGAACUUUUACAGGUGAUGCUAUUGUGCCUGGACUCAGUACAGCUUUUAGAUCUAUCAUUCCUGAUUCUGGCGGGGUAAAUUUUCUCAACUUAAUUCUAUCAGAAUUAUUGUGUCUCAAUGAUUUUUCGUUUGGUGUGAUGUUAUAUGUAUUUGUACAAUGCUUAACCACAGGUGGAACUGCGAUACUUGCAUGACUAUGCUGGGUUCACUGCAGGCAUUGGGUUGAAGGCAGGCCGCCAUAACCACCUUCAGUCGGUAGGACUUGACCGCAUUGUAAAGUUUUCGGUUGUCGCAGGAAACACUGUUCUUUCUCUUGGGACCGAUGCAGCCUUUGACAUAUCAACGAGGACUUUCAGCAAUUACAGUGCUGGCUUGAGCUUCAACACUGCCUUGUUCAAUGCUUCCGUGAACUUGUAAGCAAUCUUACGAGAAUCAAUUGGUUCAUUUCCAAUUUUGUUUAUUGAUUAUCAACUAAGCUUUUCUAGUAACGCAGGAACGACAAGCUUGAAAACUUAAGAGCUUCUUAUUAUCAAGAGCUGGUCCCUCUGACCAGGACUGCCGUUGCAGCAGAGUUGACGCAUAGUUUUUCUAAUCACAGGAGUAUUUCCGAUAACAUUCCCAUUCCAACCAGCUUGACAGUUGGUUUCCAGCACGGGCUGUUUCCUUCUACAUUGGUGAAGGUCCGUGUCAACACUAAUGGCAAAGUGGGUGCUCAUGUUCAGCAGUCCUUCUGGCAAAAGUUCUCUAUAGCUGUUUCUGGAGAGACUGAUAUAAGGGCCUCAAGCUGGACUCCCAAUGUAAGAUUCGGUAUGGCAUUCAGUUCCUAGAAUAAACUCCAUCUCUAAGUCAGAAGAUUACAUUUAUAUCAUUUAUUAAAUGUUGUACUAGAUAAAUGGGUGCCUUCAUGUUUAAAAUUUCAAGUGAACUAAUGAGAUGGUUUCUGCACAAGUAUUUUGAGGAACUAUGAUUUGAACUCCGCAUAAAUUUUAAGACUGAGAAGUGAAAUUAGUCAGAAAAUUGACAGAUACAAGCAUCUUUCAUCAAGAACAUUUCAUAUCUUGUUGAAUGUCAUGUGCCCAGUAACUGUGUUACAUAACAAUUAAUGAACAAAUUGACAACCGUAAUUAGCCAAGAACAGAACACGUGCAAACUUGACAAUAAAACAAUAAUAAUCGUACUUGUCUUAACACAAAACUAUGUGAAUCCAAAUAAAAGGUAACACGUCACUGGUGUUGUGAAGCCUGCUACAUCUCUAACAGCAGAAUGUCCAUGGGGAAUAAAGACGGCAGAGGAUGUAGAAGGGCCUCAAUUUCCUUCAAGGUGUCGAAGUUUAGUACCCAAUACUUUAUUAUUGAGAUCAUCCUUUAAAUACAUCCUUUGCCGUGGUUCCUGGAGCACUGACAGAGAAUCCCAGCACACUGUCGGUGGCGAGCAAUACCACGCGUUAAUUUCAGUCCACCGUAAAUUUAAUUUAUUAUGUCCGCUGGUUCGUGUGGGAGUCUUUUUAUUCUCCUUUUGGUUUUAAAUUUUAGUAGUGUUUGUAAUUAUAUUUUGUGGUUAGGCAUUGGCUUAAUUUAAGCUUGAGUUUUAAAUAUUUUAUAAUAUUUAAAUUGAAUAUGGUCUUAUAUUUAUGUCUAAAUGGCGAUGUAUUAUUGGUUAUUGUUUUUUUUUUUUUUUGAGUAAUACAUGAUAUUACUUACGUAUACAUAUACAUCACCAUCUAUAAAAUUUUAUUGAGUUCAUGUAUUUAAAGACGAAGAAUGAUUGUAGAGUUUUAGCUCAUUCUAUAAGAGAUGUUAAGUUCUCUUUUGUUCGAAGGUCUGCGAACAUUGCUGCUCAUGCUGCUGCAAGAGUGGGGGAUUUUUUGUCAGGUCCUAGAGAGUGGAGUCAUGUUCCACCUCUUUGGUUAACUUCUUAUCUAUUUGAUGUUUCUAUUUAAUGAAAUUUCCAUUUAUCAAAAAAAAAAAAAAAGACGAAGAAUGACUAAUAAUAUAUCGCCGCCAUAAAGACGUAUUGCUAUUUUCCUAAUUAUAUAUAUAUAUACUGCAAAAAUAUCGUUUCCGCCAUGCCUUUCUUUGUUUAAUUGUGUUUGGCUGCUGCUGCUGGCAAAAUUGGAGGGAAAAGACGAACCAGUUACUGCCAAUUACACCUCUAUCCAUCAUACCUACCGUCUUUAACUUUUAUCUUUAUGUUUGGUGUAGCCGGAAUUAACCUAUAGUCAUUUAAUAAAUAAAUUUAAACUUUUAAUUAAAAUUACAGAUUUACAUUUUAGUUAUUUACAUAAAGUUUAAUUUCCGAUAUAUGUAUAUUUAACAAGAUAUUUUAGAAGCCAUUGUUUCAUAAUUUAAAUUUAUUAAAUAUGUUAUGAAAUUAUUUCUAAAAUUGAAUAUUUCAAAACCUGAUGUAGAAAUAAUUUCAAAAAUUCUCUGAUUACCAGAAAAUUAUUAUCCCAAAUAGAUACAGACGUUCUCUUUGGUCUUUGAAUCGGCGAGAAAUUUGAAAACACGUCUUUUUAUUCACUCAAUCUUCACUCAGCCAGAUAACAUCAUGUUUUUUUAUUUCAAUUUUGCCUCAUUUACCCAUAAAUACCAAAUAUAUACCCCAUUACAUUCAUAUGCCCCACGGAAAAAAAAGUCAAAAAUACCCUUAAAAAAACCAUCUAUCAACAUUUCCUUACCUCACCAUUUUAGAUACUUUCUCACUCCUCGCAAUUCUUCCUUUCUUAUGGUUUUCUCCCCUCUCAUCAAUUCAUCUCUUACCUCUAAAACAAAAUUUUUUGAUAAACAUAAACUCUUGAAAAAAAAACCUUAAAAAUAUGUGCAUUGUCAAAUGGUGAAUAAAUUAUGUUUGAAAUAUAAACAUUUUAUAUGCUUAGAGUUUGAUUUGACUUCAUUACAAGUAAAUUUACUGAUGAUUUAUGAAUUUGUGAUAGUAAAUUAUUCAUUUCAGUCUAGCACACACAUAGAGUACUGUAUAAAAUGUAGGACUUAAGACCAAAACAUUUCAUUUAAGUUUUGGGUGAUUGAAAAAUGAUUUCAGGAACAAGUCGAGUACAAAGUUGGGUAAGUCGAGUAAAAAAUGGAGUAAAGGAGUUUAUUAAGUCAAGCAAGGAAAUCAAGUAAGUCGAGUAUCUAGUCUGGCAAAAAUUGUAACUAAUCAAGUAAGUAUGAUGUAAGUCGGGUAGAAAGUCGAGAAAUAUAUCGAAUAAUAGUAAGCUUAGUAGUAAAGUAUAAGUCAGGUAAUUAGUCAAGUAGUAUAGAAUAAUUUCGGUAACUAGUGGAAUAGGUCACUGAACAAAUCGAGUAAAAGUCAAGUAAGUUUAUGAAUAAGUCAAGUAUGAAUCGAGUAAGUCUAUUGAAUAAGUUGGGUAUUAAUUUUAAGUUUUUUGAACAUGUUGGGGUAGGAGCCGAGUGAUUUUUUGAACAAGUUUACUAGUUGAGUAAACCCAAAGUAACUCUUUGAACAAAGUAAGAAUUUUGAUCACGUCAAGUAAAAGUCGCUAAGUUGAGCAAAUCUUUUAACCAAGUAAGUCUUUUGAAAAAGUAAAGUAUUAAUUAUUUUAAGUUGUUUGAAUAAGAGAAGUAAGUCUUUUGAACAUGUCAAGUAUGAGUCAAAUAAGUCUUUUGAAUAAGUCGAGUACAAAAUGAAAUAAGUAUUUGAACAUGUUGAGUAUUAACUAUUUUAAAUUGUUUGAACAAGUCAAAUAAGUCUUUUGAUCACAUUGAAUAGGAGUCGAGUAAGAAGAUCGAGUAAGUUAUUUGAACAAGUUGAGUAAGUUAAUUAAAUAAGUGGAAUAAGUCUUGUAGUGUAAUUUUAUUCAACUAUUUUAAUAAUUUUUUUUUCUACAAUUUUUUAAUGAUGACAGUGCCAUCACUCAUCAAUGGCAAUCGUAUGUGUUCCCAUCCUUUUUAACAUUGAAUGGACUCAAGAAAAUGAUGGUUUUAUUCCUAACCAUUUUCGCAAUGGAAAUGAAUCAUAACACAAACUUAUCUCAACACUCAGGUUGAUGUGGAAAACGAACCAAUCGAGAUCCAUUUUCGUGUGGAGAACACAAUACUACCGGAUAAUGAAGCACCAACUGAUAGUCUACUAGUGUUGACUGUAACCAGCCAUGCUCUUGGAAGAACUAUUUUCCAAGACAAAGUUUGCUUGAUAGUACUAAUUCAAUUUGCAUGAAUGAUUCAUUCCUCAUUGUCGACGAUUUAGCAUCAAACGAGGUUGGUGAUGGCAGCAACAGAUUUGUGGAAAGACAACAAUUUUCUUUUAAAGAGAUCUUGUGAGGCAUGCUCAGUACAUAUGCUGUAACAAAUAAAUUUGGAUAUGAAAGUUUAAGUCUGGCAAGGAUAAACUUUUCGUCACUUGCGUGGAUAAAAACUGUAAACGACAUCUUCAUGUUGUUAAGGUAAAUGAUUGUGGUAUGUUGUCUUUAAAAGGUGGCAUUGUGGAGUUUUUGGGUCAUGUCUUGAGUGCUUGGAGUAAGUGAAAGACCAUCCUAAGUCACUGUAUAAAGAUUUCCUUACUGAAAUUGUAUACUAAUGAUUUUGCUAGUUGUUAUGAGAUGACAUUAUAUUUAUAGUGCUGUUAUUUCCCCGAGUCAAACCCCGAAAAUCCCACAAAACGACGUCGUUUUGUUUUGAUCUUUUUCCUUUUAAUUUCAGCUGCAAGCGCUGUGUCGAGCAAUCCGUUUCAAUCCAAACGAUGUUGUUCUCCUUCAAUUCGUUUCAAAGCACAUGACGUCGUUCUCCUUCAAUCCAUUUCAAGCACAUGAGUGCGAGCAUAUGCUUUGUCCUUCAAUUUCCUUUCAACCACAACACUCCAAUUACAAAACCUUAAGUACAGAACUCCUAAAUUACAAAACCCCAACUAGUUCCUCAAAAUUAAGUGCAGAACCCCUAAAUUGCAAAACCUCAACUAGUUCCUCAAAGUUGAGUACAGAACCCCUAAAUUGCAAAACCCCAACUGGUUCUUCAAAGUUAGUUUCAAUUUGUAUUUGGGCUUUGGCAUAAGGUAACGUAUUGAUUCCUCAACGUUUACUUUACUUGAAUCUUGAGCUGGUUUGCGUGAUGGUUGUUGUCCAUCGUCUGUAGCUCGCGUGAUGGCUAUGAGUUGUGAGCGACGGCAAUUGUGGCUGGAGAACUCGAGAAAUGCUGAGAUUGCAGAUUUUGUGGUUGUGAAAGUUGAUUCAAAAUGGUUCGUUUCAGCUUCAUCAAAAUGGUUCGUUUCAGCUUCAUCAAAAUGAAAGGAAAAAAAUGUUACUUCUAAACGAUGUGUUUUCAUUUUAAUCAAAAUGGCGAGUUUCAAUUCGGGGCUUAAGUCGAUGCGCAAGUCGGGGGAAAUAACUUUUUCCUUAUAUUUAAUGUUUGUUGGAUAAUUUAUGGUUGUUGCAGAUACUAUUAUUUUUUAAUGCUUAUUACAUAUCUUAAAAGAUGAUUACUUACUAAAGCUAAAGUCACGUAUUUUGGACACUAAAGCUAAAGUCACGUAUUCUGGACUCAUUACCCGGCUUCUAUGAAAAAAGUCUCGAAUUUUUUGAGAAAUUUAAUUGGUCGUGGUUCAAUUAAAUUCGAAUAUACUUAACUCGUUAUCCGACUUUCAUGAAAAAAGUCGAGAAUUUUUCAGUGGACUUAAUUGAUUGUGGUUUAACUAAAGUCGAGUAUACUCAACUCGUUACUUAAUUUGAUUAAAGAAGUUAAGAAUUUUUUUCAGAGAACUUAAUUAUUGUGGUUCAUUUUAAGUCGAGUAUUCUUAACUUGUUAUCUAACUUACAUGAAAGAAGUCGAAAAUAUUGAUCUUGCUCGACUUCAAGAUAUCAGUUCAAUUUUGUAAAGAUUUAAUUAAAAAUAUUUUCAUAUUUUUCCUUUUUUAAGUAUAUAUGUGAAAAUUAAAAAGUGUAACAAUUGAAGCAUAUUUUGGGUAUUACUAAUGAGCAACCACAAGAAAGAGAAUAUAUCCAAAAAAUAUAUAUAUAUAUGGUGAAAGAAAUUUUGAGAAUAAAGUUGGGCGGCGAGCGGAGGAAGUCGGUUUGCGCUAGUUUCCCAUCACUUGCUGUAUAAUUUUAAGUUGACAUAAGCGCACCAACUUUUGUUCAUCAGUUUGCUGUAUUUAGUAUCUUUAGCUUCCCAUUAUCUAAUUUUAAUGCCUUCAACGCUUAACUUUUUUUUUUGGUUUCUAUUUCCUUCUCUCUCUCAGGUCUUCUGUAUAAAGAUGACCUGGAACAAUCCACCACUGAUGGUAACUUUUUUACUUUUUAACAAAUUACCAAGACGAGCUCUUAGGAGUCUGCCAGUGAUUUUCAAUCAUUUUUUUAGUCGUUCAUCCGCGGUCUAAUUUUGGAGAGACAGUGGCUUAAAAAAUGAAUUUAAUCUUUCCUCACCCUACCUUGAAAUCAAAAGAGUGAAAAAAUAAAUACUGUCUUGUAGAAUUUUAUCUUUUUUUUUUUAUUGCCCUGUCAGAUUUAUGAUUUUUCUGUUUAAAAUUUUUUCGUUAUAGCCCUUUGGGAACCAAAUUCUUGGUCGGCUUAUCUUUCAUUUGUUAUGUGUAUACUGUGGAUGUGUUCAAUAUUCUUCGUUUCCAAUUGUGAAUGUUGAUAUAUGCGGCAGCCCGCAGAGGAGCCAAGUGUAGUGUCUUCGGCUCUCUAUUACUUUUUCAGCGGAGAAACCCAUUUCACAUCUUGUAGGACAUGUCUGUUAUUUUUUACGUUUCAUUUUCGGUGUGGGAUCUAAUGUCUUGAAACUGUUAGAUUAAUUUUAUAUUAAUCUAAUAUAUUUGGGGUCACACAUGAAAUAAAUAAAAUGUGUGUGCUAUUAUUUAAUAAGCCAAGAAUUAAGUGAUCUAUUUGGAGUUAAUUAAAUGGUUAAGGGUAUAAUUAUUGUGGAUUAAAUGUAUAGAUACCAGAAUUUAAUCAUCACUUUAAUGAGGGGCUGAAGUGAUAGUUAUCAUAAAUAACGUGACCAUUGGUUUUCUAAAGAAAACCAACAGUCCCGUUAUUUAUAUAAAAGGGGUUAUGGUCCUCAAUCUCUCAUCAUCCUCUGAAAUUCUCUAAUCCUCUUAGGGAAAAUUCUAAACUCAAGAGAAAAGAGAAGAUUGGAAGUCUAUCUCCUACACUCAAGAACCACUACGAAUCACCAUGGAUUCAGGUAUGCUUCCGCUUUCGUAUUUCUCAGUAAUUUAAUUUGGAUGUUAUGAAGAUUUAGGGGAUAACAGAAACUUCUGUCAGCAAAGCUUAAAAUACAUCCAUGGAUGCUUGGAAAUUUUGCUUUAUAAUUUAUACACAAGUACCUCAUCAGGAAGCUUCCUUUUCAGCCCUUUCUAUCCUUGCCUAAUAAAUUUAUUUUCACCCAAUCCACAAUAUGUUGAUAGAAAAGUUUUGAACAUUGUUUAUAAGUUUGAACUUCAAAAUGAGCAAGAGUCCCGGCUUAUACAUUGAUAUUGGCAAAAUGGCCAGCUGUUAAUAUACUUUUCUAUUCUUUUAUUGUCGUUAUAACUUAAACAAUUUGCACUCAUAUUAAUUAUUAGCCAAUUAAUAUUUGCUUUUAUCAACGUCAGAUCUUCUCUACCAGGGUUAUGGUCAGCAACCACCUAAUCACUUUCGUAACGAAUGUUUACGCAGCAGCUUUGAUAUCUACUGUCGAUGUAAUUAGUCUGCAUUUAAUCUUUUAUGAUGACAAUGAAGUUCCUCUUUCAGUGUCUCUUUUUCCUGUUUUGAUAUCCAAUACACAAUGCAUUACCAAUACUUAAAUUCAGUAAUGCAACAACUAUAUCAAUUUAUGCAUAUUAAGAAGCAUUGGCUCAUAGUCAUAGCUCGACUAUAUCAAUUUAUAAUGUGGACUUCUAAUCGAUUAUAAUGAUCUGAACUUCCACGGGUGAUGAUGUUGUGCCUGGACUGAGUCCAGCUUUCAGGUCUAUGGACCAUGAUUCUGUCAGUGUAAGAAAAUUAUCUCUACUUAACCCUAUCGGAAAUUUCAAUGAUUUUUUUUAUUAGUGUAAUGUUACAUGCAUGUACAAUGCUUCAUUCUUAGAAGAAUGGUGAUUGUAAUCAGGUGGAACUGCGAUACAUGCGCGACUACGCUGGGAUUACUGCAGGCAUAGGAUUGAAGGCAAACUACAAUCCGGCUAUAGGAGUAGGAUUUGCACUUGACCCCAUCACUAACUUUUUGGGUGUCAUAGGAGAUACUCUUCUCUCUAUUGGGACCAAUGUUGCCUUUGACGUAUUAACAGGAACAUUAAGCAAUUACAAUGCCGGUUUGAGCAUCAACACUGCCUUCCUUGAUGCUUCCUUGACCUUUUAAGCAAAUAUAUUACAAGAAUUGACUGGUUUGUUCCCAAUUGUAUUUAUUGAUUAUCAACUAACCCUUUCCAAUAAUGCAGGAAUGAAAAACUUGAGAUUUUAAGAGCUUCCUGCUAUUUAGAACUGAUCCCUCUGACUAGGACUGCCAUUGCAGCGGAGUUAAAGCAUAGUUUUUCUAAUAAUGGCACUAUUUCAGAUGCCAUUCCAACCACCUUGACAGUUGGUACCCAGCAUGAGCUGUUUCCUUCUACACUGGCGAAGGCCCGUAUCAACACUGAUGGCAAGGAGCUACUGUUGUCUAGAAAUCUGUCUGGCAAAGAAUGUCGUUAGCUUUCAAUGUAGAGACUGAUUUUAGGGCCACAAGCUUGAUGCCUAAGAUAACUAUAGCUCUGAGGUCCAGUUCUUAGUCAGAAGAUUACUGAAAAUAUGUACAAAUUAUCUCACAACAUUGAUAUGCACUACUUGAUAAAUGGGUGCUUUAACGUUGAAAAUGUUAAGUGAAUUGAUGAGAUAGUUUUUGCAAAAGUUGUUGAGGAAUUAUGAUUACUAUAACCACGCAUAAUUUGUGGGACAAAGAAGCGAAAGUAGUCGGCCAAUUGACAGAUCUUUCAACAACUACUUGAAGGUCUUAAGCUCGGUAAGUUUGUUGCAAUAAAACAAAUUAAGGACCACAAUUUGCCAAGAAUAGAACAGAGCACAUGGAAACUUCGGAAUAGAUCAAAAUGAAAACUUAUACUUGUCUUGAUACGAAAACUAGAUAAGCCUUAUCAAUUAACGAUUCACUGGUGUUGAGAAGCCUGAAGAAGUCCAUCACGGAUCUGUGUCGCUACAUCUCUAACGGCACCAGGUCCAUGGGGAAUAAAGACAGCAGAUGAUUUAGAAGCAGCUCCAAUUUCCUUCAUGGUGUCGAAGUAUUGGGUGACCAGGACCAUGUCCAUCACAUCCUUUGCCGUGGUUCCUGGAACGUUGAUAGAGAAACCCAGCACACUGUCUCUCAAGCCAUCCACAAUUGCCUGUCGCUGCCGAGCAAUACCAAGCCCUGACAGAUAUUUAGACUCAGCCUCGCCUUCAGCUCGUUUGAUCUGUAAAAUUUUCUCUGCCUCUGCCUUCUCGUUAGCUGCCACCCUCAGUCUUGCAGCUGAGGGAGUACAAUAAUAAGCAUGAUGGGAUUUGAAAUGAAGUUUGAUACUCAUUUGAAGAGAUGCUAGAAACAUUACCAGCGUUAAUUUCAUUCAUUGCCCGCUUGACAUGCUCAUCAGGUUCUAUAUCGACAAUAAGUGUUUGAACAAUCUCAUAGCCAUAAGCAGACAUAGCCUGUUAGGAAAAAUAACACAGCAUAACAGGAAUAAUUUCCCAUAACCUUCACAAUAAACGGGAUUAGCUUACAAUACAACAAACAUCUCUGCGCGAUAAUGUACAUCACCUUUUCAAGCUCCUCCUCCACAGCUUUGGCAAUUUCAUUUUUUUGCUCAAAUGCGUCAUCUAGAUUUAACUUUGGAAUACUUGCCCUAAUCACUGAACAAUUUACCAGAAGAUCAUAUAUAGCAUGUGAGUGAUGCACUAAACAUAUGUCUAUAGUCUUAAACAAAUAUAUAUAUUUUACCAUCAAAGACAUAGGCCUGAAUUUGAGUCCUUGUGUUGCUGAGUUUAUAGAAAGCAUCAUUUGCCUUAUGUGCCAGGGCACGGUAUUGAACAGAUGCAACAACAUUGACAAAUACAUUGUCCUGGUAAAUCACCAAAAAUUAUAAUCAAAUGAAAUUAAAGAACAUGAUGACAAGACCACCCAAGUAAAUUGUACCGAUAAUGAGUAGUUAUCAACAGACCUUAGUCUUGGUUUCACAACGAACAUCUAACUGCUGCAGCCUGAGUGUAAGGUGACCAGCUAGCUGAUGUCCAAGGAUCCAUGGGAGGAAAUGGCAUCCAGGUUCAAGGACAUCCUCAAACUUGCCAAAUCUCUCCUUAAUAGCCACUGUUGAUUGGUCAACUUGUACGCAACAGAACAGAUUCCCCAUCUUCUUUACACUCUAAUAUGAUAAAAAUAAAUGUAAAAAAAAAAUUAAAAAAUUUAAAUCACUUAGAAACCAAAAUGAAUUCAUGGUAAAAAGCUAUCAGGGAAAGCAAACUUACAAAUCAAUGCAGAAACAAAAUGGGGAAUGCAAAUGCUGCUGUAGGAAGAUAUAUAGUGAUAGAAACAAACAACUAAAUCAAGGGACUUAAAUAGAAACAAAAGCUUGGCCUAGGAAACUUCUCCAAACUUUCUAUGCGUUUUUUAGUUAAGUUAACAGCAAAUUAAGGGAAGUCCUAUUUCUUAGAAGAUUUCACAAUUUUCGGCCAUAAAUAGAUAUCAAAGUUAAAUAUGUGAACUGUAGCCACAGAGGACAGUGAAGACUCUAAGAAACUUUCCCAUUUGAAUGAACUUAAUUGUAUAUUCAAUUAAAUGUACGACCAUUUUGAUGACGAUUCUUGUUUGCAUUAAUGUGUCAAGAGUGAUGAUAAGCCUCAAAAAUAACGAAAAUAGCAGGAUGUUGCGUGUGUGUCAAGAUACAAUCAAGGCAACAAGAAAGUGCCUGAAAAAAGUUAAAAGAGACUUGAGAAUGUAUUAAUUGUGAAAAACUAUUAUUAGCCGUCUUAGCUAAGAAAAAUAACAAACGGAAUUCUUGCUUAAUUCUGUUCUAUCAACUUUUUUUCAUUGCUAAAGUUACGAAGAUCGAGAAAUUACUGUGAGUUAAUAAUAGUUUUUUGUUCAUAGAACACCGGACAACUGAAGAUGCCUGUCAUUUGUUUAUUUAAUUAUUUCAUGUCAUUAUAAUAAAGAAUGUUUUAAUUGAAAGGAAAUCUUGACAGAAACCCACAAUUGAAAUAGAAAUUGUUGGAGAAAGCAGAGGAAACUCCAUCACCUUUUAAUUCUUUGAAAGAGAGAGUCAGAAUCUUGACUUUGAGGGUUAAGAAACGACUUAAAUUUUAGGUGCCUAUUUUUAUAGUUUUAUAAGUUUCCUGGAAAUUCAGAGAAAUAAAUUCUACUAAUCCAAUAUAUGUCUAAAAAGAUAUACCCUACUGAGUAAAUAUGUGGUGGGUCAAGAAAUAAACUAAGCAUCCAAGAAAGGAAAAGUGGUUCUUGCCUUUCUUGGGAGUAUGGAAUGUGGUCAAAGUCAUCAUCCUCUCUUUCAUUCAUUUGCCAUGAGAUCGGUCCACCCCAUUUAGCGCUGGUGUUGGCCUGGUUCAAUUGUGCUCUGCCACAUAGUGGGAUUCACUUUUAUUAAAUCUUGAAACUUAAGACUUUAGGCUAGCUGAUCUACUCAUAUUCACUAGGCUUAAUCAAACUUCAUUGAGCAUAAUGAUGAUAUAUAAAUACUAACUAUACUAUAGUGCUUUCGAUAGAACAAAUUAAGAAUAAAUUUAAGUUUAAUUGUAAUUAGACAAAUUGUUAUUAAAUUUAAAGUUACCAAAUUUAAUUACAAUUUAAGUAAGUUCAACAAUGAUAAUAAAUAUUAAUAUUUAAUAAAUGAUAAAUAAUAACAACUCAUGAAUUACAAUACUUACAUGCCCACACAUAUCAAUUUUUAUCGGGAAAUUUACACAAAUAACCUAAAAAAAUUUGUUAUUUUUACAACUAACCCCUCAACUUUUUUCCUAUCAACAUUAGCCAAUAAUCACCCCUAGUGCCAAAAAUGCCCCUCCCAUAACUCUACCUCUCCUUCCUCUCUCUCUCUCUCUCUCUCUCAAUUUACUUUUAUGUAUUCCAUGAUAAAAGUUCUUGGUAAGAUUUUCUAGCUCCUCCCUAGCUAAGUGUCCGUAGCAUGUCUUUUUUUCAUUCCAAUAAAGAAAAUUAAUUAAAUCUUCGAAAUCUGGAUCUUAUUUUGUUCUCAUGAUGCAAAGCUCAAGAAGAAUACGUGAAAUUUGUUGGGAAAAAUGGAAAUAAAGAGUAUGAGAGACUUCGAAAGCCCUUGGUCAUUAGAAUGAAUUUGAAUUUAAUGUCGAGUUUAUUGUGCUCAAAUGGGGCGGCCGCCACGAGUGGAUGAACCUUGGUGAGCCUGUAGAAAAGCAACUGAGGCAGUGCCAGAGGCAAUGCAACCGUCAAGAGGAGGGAGGACAACAGAGAGCGUUGUGUCGGCUUAGGUGUUAGGAAAAAAUAUAGAAGAGAGAAAGAGGGAGAAGGAGGACAACAUAACACGCAAGAGGAAGAGGAAGAGGAAAAGGAAGAGGGAGAUGAGGAGAGGCAGUGGCAAGGGCAAGAAGAAGAAGAUGAGAAUCCAUAUGUAUUUCAUAAACAUCACUUCACUAGUAGAGUUACCACCCAACAUGGAAGAGUUGCUUUUCUUCCCAAGUUCACUCAAAGAUCAAAGCUUCUUCGUGGCCUUGAGAAGUACCGCCUUGACAUUCUUAUUGCUAAUCCUCAAACAUUUGUAACUCCAACCCACUUGGAUGCUGAUGUCGUUUUCUUAAGAUAAUGGCGGUGUGAUGCAAGCUGUUUUCUUAAGAUAAUGUAAUCCUUAAACAUUAGUUUCACUUCCACUUAGAAGGGGGCGAAGAAGUAGAGGUGCCAUGCAAGCCGCCACUACUGAAGUGCUCAUUCGAUUUUGAUUUUUAGAAGAAGCAAUAGUUUGCAUCAUCAUAAGUAGGUGCGACAGGCACCUGUCACACCAAAUUUUAGUGCGACAGGCAGCCCGUCGCACCAGAUCUUAGUGCGACAAGCACCUGUUUGCAAUCACACUGAAUCAAGUUCGCAAGUUAAGAAAAUAUCUCUUAUUGCUCGCUGAUACGGAUUAGUGUUGGAUCCGGAUGGAUUACGCUGUAUUUGAUCGGAGUUCACUUUUACCGUUUACCGUUGUCGUUUGCCGUUUGUCGUUGCUAUUUGUCGUCGUCGAUGAUGAUUCAAUAGUACAAGACUGCGUUUGGUUUGAUCAAGGGGGAGAAGAAAAGUUAUUUUUGGUUUGUAAAUAAGGGUAAUAUGGGGAGCAAAUCUUGUAUUUGGCUAAUGUUGAUAGAAAAAAGUUUGAAGGACUAAUUGUGAAAAUUACAAAAACUUUUAGGUUAUUUUUAUAAAUUUCCCAUUUUUAUCUCCCUUGUACUGCCCAUAUUAUCAAAAUUGCAACAUUUGUUCGAUAUGUGGGUUUUUUGGGCUAAAAUUAUACGGAACGGAAGUGUCAGUUUGAGGAGGUGGUUUUAGGGUCCUAAGAGUUUAAAACCCCACGUAAUGGCAAGUCAUCUGCUGGAUGGGCCUUCGAAUGGACUGGACUUGUGGAACAAAAAGAUCAGAACUUUUUAAACAUUUAAAAAAGCUUGGUCACAGAUUUCCCAGAUAGAGCAAUCAACAAUUCGAUUGGUGGAUGUUAUAAUAUUGUAGGACUUAAAGAUUACAGUGGAAUCCGACGUGGCAAUUGCCAUCACCAAGAAAAUUUACGAAGUUUGCUUCUGAUUCUGAAUCAUCAUCAUCAGACAUCAAUGACGGUCUCUGCACCAACUCCAGUUGCCCAGGUUCAUACGAUCGAGUGCAACAGCUUCCUCUCCUCAAAGCUAAAGCCUCGCUCUAACCGUCUGUUUCCCGCCAAAAAUGUCUCAACAAUCGUUGCCAUGGCCCCCAGAAAGAAGGUAAUUCGAAAAUCUCAAGACUCUCUAAAAAAAUCUCAUAAUAUAUUUUUUUUUUUCCGGCUGAGUCUGUAUCAGUAUGUGAUAAUCAUACCAAAGUAUCAAACACUCAUAAAUUUUCAAUACUUUUUUUUUCCUUUUUCUUUCAGUGAUUGAGUAAAAGAUAAAUAAAUGGAAAUGGGUUAUGAAUUACAGUUUUGUCAACUCCAUUGAGUAAUAAAAAUAAAAAAUUUGGAAAAAUGACAGGUAAAUAAAUACGAUGCUAACUGGGAGAAGCAAUGGUUUGGGGCGGGAAUAUUCUGCGAAGGAAGCGAAGAAGUGGAAGUGGACGUGUUCAAGAAACUGGAACAACGCAAAGUAUUAAGCAACGUUGAAAAGGCGGGGCUCUUAUCGAAAGCAGAGGAGCUAGGAGUCACUCUUUCAUCCAUUGAGAAGUUGGGUCUUUUUUCUAAAGCAGAGGAGUUGGGUUUGUUGAGUUUGUUGGAAAAGCUGGCCAGCGCUUCUCCCUCCACUCUUGCCUCCGCCUCGCUCCCCAUAUUUCUGGCCGCUGUGGCCGCUGUUGUGGUGAUUCCGGACGAUUCUGUAACCUUGGUAGUGGUCCAGGCUGUGCUUGCUGCUGCUCUUGGAGUUGGUGCUGCUGGUUUGUUUGUUGGCUCCGUUGUCUUGGGUGGCUUGCAAGAAGCCGAUUGAAUUUUUUUUUUCAUUUCUUAGGUGAUGGCAGGAAUAAAAUGGAAUGUUUUGAAGGAUAAUUUAAUAUUGUGACUUACAAUCUUACAAAAAUUGUGAAUGUGAUAAGGUGAAGUGUGUGUGAUUAUUCCAUUUAAUUAUAUGAUAAAUGAUUAAAAAUAUUAAAAACUUUUAUGCCAUUUUGAAGAUAGGUAACUUAUGUAUUUGAUAUAAUGAACAGCGAUCCUUCUUUCUUUUCAAUUAAUUAAUUUUUUUUCCGACCCAUCAGGUUACCAUCUUCUUCGUUUUAGAAAAUAACCAACCUUAUAGAUUA
Molecule: long non-coding RNA, 41028 nt
Filed under: Citrus maxima (pomelo)
Lineage: Eukaryota; Viridiplantae; Streptophyta; Magnoliopsida; Sapindales; Rutaceae
Description: long non-coding RNA (CMAX_LNC002063)
Source: RNAcentral